UCGGUGCAUGGCCCGCGGGCCGGUGACCGGGUCGUUCUCGGUGACUCGGGCCUGGUCGUCCGGGUCGAGUCCGACGCACAGAA
This 83-nucleotide transfer RNA is filed under the name Streptomyces tubercidicus. Its description in RNAcentral is "tRNA-Glu". The record is from RNAcentral. Lineage: Bacteria; Bacillati; Actinomycetota; Actinomycetes; Kitasatosporales; Streptomycetaceae.